ACUCGAUCAAACUUGAGAAAGGCCAAUAGAAACCAACAAACUUGACAGGCCAUCAAACUGGCCAAACAAAAGAACCACCAAGAAAACAAGACAGCAGGCCAAACCACACCCCAUAAGAAACACAAGAAAUAACAACCAUCAAAACCCAGCAAAAGGACAAUAUCAAGCAGCCACCAAGAGACCAGCUGAAGGCAACUGGGCCUAGGCGACUGGAAGAAGACAUGGCACCCAAGAAAAUCUGGAAAAUCCAGAAACAAAUCAACAGAAAACUUGACAAGGAACCAGGGAGAGUUGUAGCAGGAAGAGGGCAAAUGGACAGGAGACAAGCAGCAGCACGGCAAGGUUUCUCCAAAACCCUCAGGCGCAGGCAAGGAGAGGCAGAGAAAACUGACUUUAAUGUGCUGCACCAGCUUAAGAAAAGGCCACGAAAGCACACUUUGGCUGAAGCAGCAUACCAGAAAGCAUCCAAAGCAUCACCUAAAAGUAGUUCCUUGACGGGAAAAUGUAGCCAAAGAGGAAGGUUAAGUGGAUAGCACAUUUUGGCUCUAGUAUCACGUUAAUUUACUAUUUAAUCUAAAGCUUAAGUGGAUAGCUUAAGGUUUAAUAGUUAACAAUCUUAAACUUUCCCCUCUAGGUAAUUUGUACAAAAUUGUCUGAUAUUUCUAUCACUUUUGGUAGGAGUGCUAGGUAAUAAUCUAGGAUUGCAAAUAAUCUCCAUAUCCAUGUAUAGAAUUAGCAUUAAUUCUCUCUGUUGUUUCCUUAAUUAAUUGUCUCAUAAUUUAAAAUCCUUUGGACUAUCACUCGAUUCCUAUUUCGUUACAGCCGGUUCACAAUUGUCAACUUGGUAUAAUUAUGGAGUGCUGUUGUUGCUGCCUUGCACAUUUUUCUUACCACUACCACCACUACUUUUGCCACCUCCAUUACCAUCAGUAUAUUGCAGUCACCAUCAUCACCACCACCUGUUGUGCCUCCAUUGCGAUUGGAGUCUCACAAGAGCUUAUUGUCAUCUCCCACUAUUCUAUGCCAAUGCUUGUCACUGUUUGCUGGCCUUCUACUGCAAGCAUUUUAUUUUCUGUCCUGGACUCAAAUUCAGGACUUUAUCUUAUUUAAGAAAGAAAGGAUGACUCAUGCAAUUUCUAUGCUGUGCAAAUGGCUUAUACCAAAAUUUGCUUCUUCAUCAAUACCAGGGAGGGUCAUUGAUAUUGGUAUUAGUAUAUAUUAGACGAGAUGCAGUCGCAGUUGCAGUCGCGUAUGAUGAUUCCUAUGCAUGGCACACAGUAGAGAUCUGCACCACAUGAGCCAAUUUCUGAACUUAAAUCUCAUUGCAGGUCUUGUUUGGUGCCCUCAUUUUAUAUUAUGUUGCAGGGGCCACCAUUUAUCUUUAUCGUAAUGAACCUUUAAUCUUAUAUGAACCAUUGACAUUAUUUAUUCGUAGAUCAGGACAUCUGUGGUGUCUGCAUUUUCUGGUUCUGAAAAUUUUUCGUUCUGAAAAGAAUGACCAUUUGAAGAAUUUUUUUUUUAUAUCUUGGAAUUACUUUUUUCUGGAAGUUCUGGUCCUGGCAAUUGGAAAGAAACUGUGAUUUAUGCUAUGACAACUGUUAAGUCAACUUGUAGAAUUAAAUUCUCUGAUGAAUAGACAGAUAAGUUUGUGUUAUUUUGAGUU
This is an RNA transcript of Mangifera indica (mango), 1663 nucleotides long. RefSeq lists it as uncharacterized. The transcript is spliced from 3 exons. NCBI's taxonomy places the organism in Eukaryota, Viridiplantae, Streptophyta, Magnoliopsida, Sapindales, Anacardiaceae. The record is from RefSeq and is a predicted model, not a curated record.